This 47-nucleotide non-coding RNA is filed under the name Schistosoma mansoni. Lineage: Eukaryota; Metazoa; Platyhelminthes; Trematoda; Strigeidida; Schistosomatidae. The record is from RNAcentral.
GCACUGUUGAGGAAUCCCAUAAUAGGACGAAACGGCCAGUCCAGUGC